This 495-nucleotide ribosomal RNA is filed under the name uncultured bacterium. RNAcentral describes it as "partial 16S ribosomal RNA". It matches the Rfam family "Bacterial small subunit ribosomal RNA", at positions 28 to 507 of the family's 1533-position model. The record is from RNAcentral.
GAUGAACGCUGGCGGCGUGCCUAAUACAUGCAAGUAGAACGCUGAAGGAGGAGCUUGCUCUUCUGGAUGAGUUGCGAACGGGUGAGUAACGCGUAGGUAACCUGCCUGGUAGCGGGGGAUAACUAUUGGAAACGAUAGCUAAUACCGCAUGACAACAGUUAUUGCAUGAUAACUGUUUAAAAGGGGCAACUGCUCCACUACCAGAUGGACCUGCGUUGUAUUAGCUAGUUGGUGAGGUAACGGCUCACCAAGGCGACGAUACAUAGCCGACCUGAGAGGGGGAUCGGCCACACUGGGACUGAGACACGGCCCAGACUCCUACGGGAGGCAGCAGUAGGGAAUCUUCGGCAAUGGACGGAAGUCUGACCGAGCAACGCCGCGUGAGUGAAGAAGGUUUUCGGAUCGUAAAGCUCUGUUGUAAGAGAAGAACGAGUGUGAGAGUGGAAAGUUCACACUGUGACGGUAGCUUACCAGAAAGGGACGGCUAACUACGUG